RNAcentral lists this ribosomal RNA (301 nucleotides) under Ixodes acutitarsus. Its description in RNAcentral is "partial 12S rRNA". The record is from RNAcentral. Lineage: Eukaryota; Metazoa; Arthropoda; Arachnida; Ixodida; Ixodidae.
CCUAAAUCUUACUUAAUUUAGUUAAAUCAAUUUGUAUACCACUAUAAUUAAAUAUAUUGAAUAAUAAUAUUUAAGAUUUUUUAAAAAAAAUAUAUGUUAAGUCAAGGUGCAAUAUAAAAUUAUGUAUGAAGUGAAUUACAAUGAUUAUAAUUUAUUUUAGAAUGAAAAAAAAAUUAGGAUUUAAAAGUAAAAUUUUAAUAGAAUGAAAAUUUGAAUAAAGCUCUGAAAUAUGCACAUAUCGCCCGUCACUCUCAAAAUUGAGAUAAGUCGUAACAAAGUAAAAAUACUGGAAAGUGUUUUU